Molecule: ribosomal RNA, 27 nt
Filed under: Lotus tetragonolobus (winged pea)
Lineage: Eukaryota; Viridiplantae; Streptophyta; Magnoliopsida; Fabales; Fabaceae
Also listed under: 56 other names
Description: partial 18S ribosomal RNA
Source: RNAcentral
CUACCUGGUUGAUCCUGCCAGUAGUCA